AUGGCCCUGAAUCAAGGCCGGCAGCUUCCUGACACUGUUGGUUUCAAGCAGGAGCCCAAAGAGAUGUCUUUUGAUGGUCUACUGGCCAUUUCAGAACUUGGGCAGUGAAAUGGUCAAUUCAUUAGAAAGAAACAGUU
Molecule: small nucleolar RNA, 137 nt
Organism: Cavia porcellus (domestic guinea pig)
Lineage: Eukaryota; Metazoa; Chordata; Mammalia; Rodentia; Caviidae
Source: Ensembl